Molecule: ribosomal RNA, 262 nt
Filed under: uncultured bacterium
Lineage: Bacteria
Description: partial 16S ribosomal RNA
Rfam family: Bacterial small subunit ribosomal RNA
Source: RNAcentral
CAGAGGGAAGCGAGAUCGAGAGAUGGAGCAAAUCCCAAAAAUAAACGUCCCAGUUCGGACUGUAGUCUGCAACCCGACUACACGAAGCUGGAAUCGCUAGUAAUCGCGGAUCAGAAUGCCGCGGUGAAUACGUUCCCGGGUCUUGUACACACCGCCCGUCACACCAUGGGAGUCAGUAACGCCCGAAGUCAGUGACCUAACCGAAAGGGGGGAGCUGCCGAAGGCGGGACGGAUGACUGGGGUGAAGUCGUAACAAGGUAAC